UCCUGCAUUAAGAUGUCCGUGGU
Molecule: non-coding RNA, 23 nt
Filed under: Mus musculus (house mouse)
Lineage: Eukaryota; Metazoa; Chordata; Mammalia; Rodentia; Muridae
Source: RNAcentral